GACGAACGCUGGCGGCGUGCUUAACACAUGCAAGUCGAGCGGUAAGGCCCUUCGGGGUACACGAGCGGCGAACGGGUGAGUAACACGUGAGUAAUCUGCCCAUCACUUCGGGAUAACUCCGGGAAACCGGUGCUAAUACCGAAUAUGACCACUUCAGGCAUCUGAUGGUGGUGGAAAGUUCCGGCGGUGAUGGAUGAGCUCGCGGCCUAUCAGCUUGUUGGUGGGGUAGUGGCCUACUAAGGCUUCGACGGGUAGCCGGCCUGAGAGGGUGACCGGCCACACUGGGACUGAGACACGGCCCAGACUCCUACGGGAGGCAGCAGUGGGGAAUAUUGGACAAUGGGCGAAAGCCUGAUCCAGCAACGCCGCGUGAGGGAUGACGGCCUUCGGGUUGUAAACCUCUUUCAGCAGGGACGAAGCGCAAGUGACGGUACCUGCAGAAGAAGCACCGGCCAACUACGUG
Molecule: ribosomal RNA, 463 nt
Filed under: uncultured bacterium
Lineage: Bacteria
Description: partial 16S ribosomal RNA
Rfam family: Bacterial small subunit ribosomal RNA
Source: RNAcentral